UACGUAGGGUCCUAGCGUUGUCCGGAAUCAUUGGGCGUAAAGAGCGUGUAGGCGGCUUGAUAGGUCCCGUGUUAAAGCCUGCGGCUCAACCGCAGAAUCGCACGGGAAACCAUCUGGCUCGAGUCCGGAAGAGGAGAGCGGAAUUCCUGGUGUAGCGGUGAAAUGCGCAGAUAUCAGGAAGAACACCCGUGGCGAAGGCGGCUCUCUGGGACGGUACUGACGCUGAGACGCGAGAGCGUGGGGAGCGAACAGG
Molecule: unclassified non-coding RNA, 253 nt
Filed under: uncultured Gaiellales bacterium
Lineage: Bacteria; Bacillati; Actinomycetota; Thermoleophilia; Gaiellales
Description: contains 16S-23S intergenic spacer region
Rfam family: Bacterial small subunit ribosomal RNA
Source: RNAcentral